CGCUGGCGGCAUGCCUAACACAUGCAAGUCGAACGAGAAGGCACCUUCGGGUGCUGGACAGUGGCGCACGGGUGAGUAACGCGUGGGGACCUACCUUUUAGUACGGAACAACAGUUGGAAACGGCUGCUAAUACCGUAUGUGCCCAACCUAUUAAUUUAGGGGGGGGAAAGAUUUAUCGCUAAAAGAUGGACCCCCGUUGGAUUAGAUAGUUGGUGAGGUAAUGGCUCACCAAGUCAGCGAUCCAUAGCUGGUUUGAGAAGAUGAUCAGCCACAUUGGGACUGAGACACGGCCCAGACUCCUACGGGAGGCAGCAGUGGGGAAUAUUGCACAAUGGGCGCAAGCCUGAUGCAGCAAUGCCGCGUGAGUGAAGACGGCCUUAGGGUUGUAAAACUCUUUCGCCAGGGAAGAUAAUGACUGUACCUGGUAAAGAAGUCCCGGCUAACUCCGUGCCAGCAGCCGCGGUAAUACGGAGGGGACUAGCGUUGUUCGGAAUUACUGGGCGUAAAGAGUUCGUAGGCGGACUGACAAGUAAGAGGUGAAAUCCCAGGGCUCAACCCUGGAACUGCCUUUUAAACUGUUAGUCUAGAGACCGGAAGAGGUUAGGGGAAUACCUAGUGUAGAGGUGAAAUUC
This 633-nucleotide ribosomal RNA is filed under the name uncultured bacterium. Its description in RNAcentral is "bacterial SSU rRNA". It matches the Rfam family "Bacterial small subunit ribosomal RNA", at positions 34 to 689 of the family's 1533-position model. The record is from RNAcentral.